GACGAACGCUGGCGGCGUGCUUAACACAUGCAAGUCGAACGGAAAGGCCCUGCUCUUGUGGGGUGCUCGAGUGGCGAACGGGUGAGUAACACGUGAGUAACCUGCCCUUGACUUUGGGAUAACUUCAGGAAACUGGGGCUAAUACCGGAUAGGAGCUCCUGCUGCAUGGGGGGGGUUGGAAAGUUUCGGCGGUUGGGGAUGGACUCGCGGCUUAUCAGCUUGUUGGUGGGGUAGUGGCUUACCAAGGCUUUGACGGGUAGCCGGCCUGGGAGGGUGACCGGCCACAUUGGGCCUGAGGUACGGCCCAGACUCCUACGGGAGGCAGCGGUGGGGACUAUUGCGCAAUGGGCGGAAGCCUGAUUCAGCAACGCCGGGUGCGGGAUGACGGCCUUCGGGUUGUAAACCGCUUUCGCCUGUGACGAAGCGUGAGUGACGGUACUGGGUAAAGAAGCACCGGCUAACUACGU
This 467-nucleotide ribosomal RNA is filed under the name uncultured bacterium. Its description in RNAcentral is "partial 16S ribosomal RNA". It matches the Rfam family "Bacterial small subunit ribosomal RNA", at positions 28 to 506 of the family's 1533-position model. The record is from RNAcentral.